This 484-nucleotide ribosomal RNA is filed under the name uncultured bacterium. RNAcentral's name for it is "partial 16S ribosomal RNA". It matches the Rfam family "Bacterial small subunit ribosomal RNA", at positions 30 to 507 of the family's 1533-position model. The record is from RNAcentral.
AUUGAACGCUGGCGGCAUGCCUUACACAUGCAAGUCGAACGGCAGCGCGGGAGCAAUCCUGGCGGCGAGUGGCGAACGGGUGAGUAAUACAUCGGAACGUGCCCAAUCGUGGGGGAUAACGCAGCGAAAGCUGUGCUAAUACCGCAUACGAUCUACGGAUGAAAGCAGGGGAUCGCAAGACCUUGCGCGAAUGGAGCGGCCGAUGGCAGAUUAGGUAGUUGGUGAGGUAAAGGCCCACCAAGCCUUCGAUCUGUAGCUGGUCUGAGAGGACGACCAGCCACACUGGGACUGAGGCACGGCCCAGACUCCUACGGGAGGCAGCAGUGGGGAAUGUUGGACAAUGGGCGAAAGCCUUAUCCAGCCAUGCCGCGUGCAGGAUGAAGGCCUUCGGGUUGUAAACUGCUUUUGUACGGAACGAAACGGUCUUUUCUAAUAAAGAAGGCUAAUGACGGUACCGUAAGAAUAAGCACCGGCUAACUACGUG